Molecule: non-coding RNA, 138 nt
Organism: Arachis ipaensis
Lineage: Eukaryota; Viridiplantae; Streptophyta; Magnoliopsida; Fabales; Fabaceae
Source: RefSeq, a predicted model, not a curated record
UUACAAAUAAUUAACAAAGGUAAGAAUUCAGGUGCAGUUAACUUUACGUAAAGUUGAUAGUUAAAAGUCGUUAAAUAGUUUAACUAAUUUAACUAAAUUUUUAUUUAAUAACUCUUAGUUAUUAACUUCAUAUAAAGU